GAUGAACGCUGGCGGCGUGCCUAAUACAUGCAAGUCGAGCGAACAGACGAGGAGCUUGCUCCUCUGACGUUAGCGGCGGACGGGUGAGUAACACGUGGAUAACCUACCUAUAAGACUGGGAUAACUUCGGGAAACCGGAGCUAAUACCGGAUAACAUGUUGAACCGCGUGGUUCAACAGUGAAAGACGGUCUUGCUGUCACUUAUAGAUGGAUCCGCGCCGCAUUAGCUAGUUGGUAAGGUAACGGCUUACCAAGGCAACGAUGCGUAGCCGACCUGAGAGGGUGAUCGGCCACACUGGAACUGAGACACGGUCCAGACUCCUACGGGAGGCAGCAGUAGGGAAUCUUCCGCAAUGGGCGAAAGCCUGACGGAGCAACGCCGCGUGAGUGAAGAAGGUCUUCGGAUCGUAAAACUCUGUUAUUAGGGAAGAACAAAUGUGUAAGUAACUAUGCACGUCCUGACGGUACCUAAUCAGAAAGCCACGGCUAACUACGUG
This 497-nucleotide ribosomal RNA is filed under the name uncultured bacterium. Its description in RNAcentral is "partial 16S ribosomal RNA". It matches the Rfam family "Bacterial small subunit ribosomal RNA", at positions 28 to 507 of the family's 1533-position model. The record is from RNAcentral.